Molecule: long non-coding RNA, 1284 nt
Organism: Malaclemys terrapin pileata
Lineage: Eukaryota; Metazoa; Chordata; Testudines; Emydidae
Exons: 6
Source: RefSeq, a predicted model, not a curated record
UGACAUUAUAUAAUCUCACUUUUCUUUAGACACUUGGGCCAGCACUUUCAAACAUGGAUGUCAAAAGUUAGAUACUAAAUCCCUAAAUCCAUACUUCUUCUUCAACGCUUAGCCGAACGGUCGGCCGUAGCAAUUGUUCACCAUUAAUCCGUUCCUGUGCUUGACGGGCCAAGAGCCCAACGUCGGAAUAGACUUGAGGCACCCAUGUAAUAGGGGGCCUGCCUUUGGGCUGCCUGCACCCCUUGAUUGGUGGAAUUGUCUCUCGGAUGUUACGAGCCACUCAGAGAACGGCGUUCGCCGGAACAUCUUGUGGCAUACUCGCGACAUGUCUGAAAAGCAUAAGACGCCGUCUGCGGACAAUGGCCCCAGUAGUCUGUAGACCGGAGCGACCAUAAACAUCUGCUUUACAAAUGAAGUCGUUCCACUCUAUGCCCAAUAUACAACGUUGGCAUUUUAUGUGGAAAGCCUCCAGCUUUGCCCACUCUGAGUGGCGCAGUCCCAAUGUUUUGCAACCGUACAGCAGUACAGAGAGGAGACAGCUCGAUUAGAUCCUGAACUUGGUUGUCGUGCCGAGAUGAUGUUGAUUCCGUAUUCAUUGUAAACGACCCAUGGCAGCGGCUGCAAUGCCACACUCAGGCACCUAAAUAAAUGGCCUGACCUUUCUCAAAUGCUGAAUACCAAGAACUUCUCACUCGAAUCUGCCGAAGCCGUGGCUGUUCAGCUCCUCUGAAAAUCAAUCCACUCGUUUAGAUGCCUGAAUAUGAAUGUUAGUGCCAGACUUUGGACAGUGACAUAGGAAGACAUUGGCCUGAGCCUAUGCAUGGACUCUCAUCCUACAAUCCAACCCCUCAACAGAUACAUCCCAGCUUCUGACUGUGAGCCAUUCAGCUACAAUGGGGAGGCCUAGAUGCUAGCCCCACAUGAGAGAGGGAAGGAUUUCAGGCCCAAGGCCCAAGUGGGGCAGGAAGAAGCACACGCUCACCUCAGUUGCCAUCUUUGCUGAGAGCCCCACAUGAGAGAGGGAAGGAUUUCAGGCCCAAGGCCCAAGUGGGGCAGGAAGAAGCACACGCUCACCUCAGUUGCCUUCUUUGCUGAGGGCGCACUGUCCAGCACGCCGGCAGACAGACCCAGAUCAGAAGGCCUGGACUUGGUACGUGAACGCCAGAAGGGCUGAGGUGCUGUUUCCCGAGGAGCUGUUCCAGGACUAGCGAGGAGCCUUUCCAAGCGUCACAGAAGGACGGGCCAGAGUUAACACGGCAUCGAGUUGUUUGUUGCAUAAUAAAG